RNAcentral lists this ribosomal RNA (495 nucleotides) under uncultured bacterium. RNAcentral's name for it is "partial 16S ribosomal RNA". It matches the Rfam family "Bacterial small subunit ribosomal RNA", at positions 28 to 523 of the family's 1533-position model. The record is from RNAcentral.
GAUGAACGCUGGCGGCGUGCUUAACACAUGCAAGUCGAACGAAGCGCUUAAGAUUGAUUCUUCGGAUGAUUUCUUUUGCGACUUAGUGGCGGACGGGUGAGUAACGCGUGGGUAACCUGCCUCACACAGGGGGAUAACAGUUAGAAAUGACUGCUAAUACCGCAUAACCCGAUAGGAUCGCAUGAUCCAGACGGAAAAGAUUUAUCGGUGUGAGAUGGACCCGCGUCUGAUUAGCUAGUUGGUGAGGUAACGGCCCACCAAGGUGACGAUCAGGAGCCGGCCUGAGAGGGGGAACGGCCACAUUGGGACUGAGACACGGCCCAAACUCCUACGGGAGGCAGCAGUGGGGAAUAUUGCACAAUGGGGGAAACCCUGAUGCAGCGACGCCGCGUGAGUGAAGAAGUAUUUCGGUAUGUAAAGCUCUAUCAGCAGGGAAGAAAAUGACGGUACCUGACUAAGAAGCCCCGGCUAACUACGUGCCAGCAGCCGCCGUAA